UACGUAGGGACCGAGCGUUGUCCGGAUUCAUUGGGCGUAAAGAGCUCGUAGGCGGUCUGUUGCGUCCGCUGUGAAAACUCGGGGCUUAACCCCGAGCCUGCAGUGGAUACGGGCAGACUAGAGGUAGGUAGGGGAGAAUGGAAUUCCAGGUGGAGCGGUGAAAUGCGUAGAGAUCUGGAAGAACACCAAAGGCGAAGGCAGCAUCCUGGGAAGUAACUGACGCUCAUGUGCGAAAGCUAGGGGAGCGAACGGG
Molecule: ribosomal RNA, 253 nt
Filed under: uncultured bacterium
Lineage: Bacteria
Description: partial 16S ribosomal RNA
Rfam family: Bacterial small subunit ribosomal RNA
Source: RNAcentral